RNAcentral lists this transfer RNA (72 nucleotides) under Candidatus Omnitrophota bacterium. Its description in RNAcentral is "Candidatus Omnitrophica bacterium tRNA-Gln". It matches the Rfam family "tRNA". From Rfam's summary of the family: Transfer RNA (tRNA) molecules are approximately 80 nucleotides in length. Their secondary structure includes four short double-helical elements and three loops (D, anti-codon, and T loops). The record is from RNAcentral. RNAcentral also lists the same sequence under 1 other name. Lineage: Bacteria; Pseudomonadati; Candidatus Omnitrophota.
UCGGGAGUCGCCAAGUGGUAAGGCACUGGUUUCUGGUACCAGCAUCCGUAGGUUCGAUCCCUACCUCCCGAG